AUUAAGCCAUGCGAGUCGAGAGGGUUCGGCCCUCGGCGUACUACUCAGUAACACGUGGAUAACCUGCCCUAAGGAAGGGGAUAACCUCGGGAAACUGAGGAUAAUACCCUAUAGGUUACAGAUGCUGGAAUGCCCUGUAACCGAAAGCUCCGGCGCCUUAGGAUGGAUCUGCGGCCGAUUAGGUUGUUGUUGGGGUAACGGCCCAACAAGCCGAUAAUCGGUACGGGUUGUGGGAGCAAGAGCCCGGAGUUGGAUUCUGAGACACGAAUCCAGGCCCUACGGGGCGCAGCAGGCGCGAAAACUUUACAAUGCGGGAAACCGUGAUAAGGGAACCCCGAGUGCCUGUAUAUGCAGGCUGUCCAGGUGUCUAAAAAACACCUGAAGAAAGGGCCGGGCAAGACCGGUGCCAGCCGCCGCGGUAAUACCGGCGGCUCGAGUGGUGGCCACUUUUAUUGGGCUUAAAGCGUUCGUAGCUGGGUUGUUAAGUCUCUUGGGAAAUCUGACGGCUUAACCGUCAGGCGUCUAAGAGAUACUGGCAAUCUUGGAACCGGGAGAGGUGAGGGGUACUUCGGGGGUAGGAGUGAAAUCCUGUAAUCCUCGAGGGACCACCUGUGGCGAAGGCGCCUCACCAGAACGGCUUCGACAGUGAGGGACGAAAGCUGGGGGAGCAAACCGGAUUAGAUACCCGGGUAGUCCCAGCCGUAAACGAUGCGCGUUAGGUGUAUCGGUGACCACGAGUCACCGAGGUGCCGAAGGGAAACUGUGAAACGUGCCGCCUGGGA
This 782-nucleotide ribosomal RNA is filed under the name uncultured Methanoculleus sp. RNAcentral's name for it is "bacterial SSU rRNA". It matches the Rfam family "Archaeal small subunit ribosomal RNA", at positions 43 to 833 of the family's 1478-position model. Lineage: Archaea; Methanobacteriati; Methanobacteriota; Methanomicrobia; Methanomicrobiales; Methanomicrobiaceae. The record is from RNAcentral.